This 1396-nucleotide long non-coding RNA is filed under the name Homo sapiens (human). RNAcentral describes it as "non-protein coding lnc-DEFB106B-3:2". The record is from RNAcentral. Lineage: Eukaryota; Metazoa; Chordata; Mammalia; Primates; Hominidae.
AUGAUGGCACGUCGGGACCCCAAAUCUUGGGCCAAGAGACUGGUGAGAGCCCAGACCCUCCAGAAGCAGCGGAGGGCCCCAGUUGGGCCAAGGUCUCCCCCGCCCGAUGAAGAAGAUCCCAGGCUCAAGUGCAAAAACUGCGGGGCCUUUGGCCACACGGCCAGAAGUACCAGGUGCCCCAUGAAGUGCUGGAAGGCAGCCCUGGUUCCAGCGACCUGGGGAAAAAAGGAAGGGAAGGAAAACCUGAAACCAUGGAAGCCCCGGGCUGAAGCCAACCCGGGGGCCCUGAAACAAGGAUAAGGGAGAGAAGGAAGAGAGACCAAGGCAACAAGACCCGCAGAGGAAGGCUCUCCUCCACAUGUUUUCCGGGAAACCUCCAGAGAAGCCGCUGCCGAAUGGAAAAGGAUCCACGGAAUCUUCUGAGCAUCUGAGGGUUGCAAGCGGGCCAAUGCCGGUCCACACAACCAGUAAGAGGCCGCGCGUGGACCCUGUCCUCGCUGAUCGCUCAGCUACCGAAAUGUCUGGCAGGGGCUCCGUCUUGGCUUCACUGUCUCCCCUCAGAAAAGCCAGCCUGAGCUCCUCCUCAAGUCUUGGACCAAAGGAAAGACAGACAGGGGCUGCGGCCGACAUCCCUCAGCCUGCAUUCAGGCACCAGGGCCCCGAGCCUCUCCUCGUGGUGAAGCCGACACACAGCAGCCCUGAGGGUGGCUGCCGAGAAGUUCCCCAGGCUGCCUCCAAAACCCACGGCCUGCUCCAGGCCGUCAGACCCCAGGCACAAGACAAACGUCCUGCGGUGACCUCACAGCCCUGCCCGCCAGCCGCCACACACAGCUUGGGCCUAGGCUCCAAUCUCAGCUUCGGGCCAGGAGCCAAGAGACCUGCCCAGGCUCCGAUUCAGGCUUGCCUGAACUUCCCCAAGAAACCGAGACUGGGUCCCUUCCAGAUCCCCGAAAGCGCCAUCCAGGGAGGUGAGCUGCGGGCCCCGGAGAAUCUCCAACCUCCGCCAGCCGCAACCGAACUUGGACCAAGUACGUCGCCCCAGAUGGGCAGGAGGACACCGGCCCAGGUGCCCAGCGUCGACCGGCAGCCUCCGCACAGCACACCUUGCCUGCCUACUGCCCAGGCCUGCACCAUGUCCCAUCACCCAGCGGCCGGCCAUGAUGGGGCCCAGCCUCUCAGAGUGCUCUUCCGGAGACUGGAAAACGGACGCUGGAGCUCCAGCCUCCUGGCCGCCCCCUCAUUUCACUCUCCUGAGAAGCCGGGAGCCUUCCUCGCUCAGAGCCCUCAUGUGUCAGAGAAGUCUGAGGCUCCCUGUGUUCGUGUCCCACCGAGCGUCCUCUAUGAGGACCUUCAGGUUUCCUCCUCCUCAGAGGACAGCGAUUCUGACCUGGAGUGA